Molecule: ribosomal RNA, 1551 nt
Filed under: Triticum aestivum (bread wheat)
Lineage: Eukaryota; Viridiplantae; Streptophyta; Magnoliopsida; Poales; Poaceae
Description: partial small subunit ribosomal RNA
Source: RNAcentral
AUGGCGGCGCCGGGAAGCAGUAAUGGCGGUGGCGGCAGCAGAUCCCAGCAGCAGCAGCCGCAGCAGGACAAGCAGAGUAUAUGGGCUGGCUGUUUCUCUGGCUUGUCAUGCUUCGGGGCGCAGAAGGGCGGAAAGCGUAUAGUUCCUGCAGCACGUAUGCCCGACGGGAACGCAUCGACUAACCGUGGAAACGCUCAGUCUGGUGGCAAUCCCAACCAGAAUGGGGCUAUGAAUCUGUCCCUUCUCGCGCCACCGUCAUCCCCGGCAUCCUUCUCCAACUCUGCACUUCCUUCGACUGCCCAGUCACCUAACUGCUUCCUGUCAAUCUCUGCAAAUUCUCCUGGUGGACCAACAUCUAACAUGUUUGCUGUUGGACCAUAUGCCAAUGAGCCUCAGCUCGUCUCGCCUCCGGCAGCCUUUUCGACCUACACAACCGAGCCAUCCACAGCACCACUGACCCCUCCUCCUGAACUAGCUCAUGCCACCACUCCAUCCUCUCCAGAUGUCCCGUACGCUCGGUUCCUUUCGUCGUCUAUGGGUCUUAAAACUGCAGGCAAGGAGCACAACAUGCAUUACUACUCUGGUGGUUCAGGGCUCCAGGGGCCUUAUCCACUUUACCAGCCAGGGAGCCCUUCCAGCAGCCUCAUCUCGCCUGCCUCGGUGACUCCGAGGACCGGCCUCUCCUCGCCUAUCCCUGAGCAAAAUGUUCCUACUGCUGCUCACUGGAAGACGUCCAGGUCUGCCUGCGACACGCCGUACUCCAUCGCUUCGCCCAUACCCGAGCAAGAGGUCCCUACCGCACACUGGAAGAAGACCUCCAGGUCUGCCUGUGACACGCCGUACUCCAGGACAUCGCCGUCGAACAUCUUCGGGCUUGAUUCUGCUGCCACAAGAAACUCCCUGCUAGAUAGCAACUUCUUCCGCCCAGCUGCAUCUGCUCAGUUCUACCUGGAUCAGGCUUAUAAUGGUGGCAGGCUCAGCGUCUCGAGGGAUAAGCAACAAGAUGCUGAUGAGGUUGAAGCGUACCGAGCAUCAUUUGGAUUCAGUGCCGAUGAGAUGGUUACAAGCACUCAACGUUACGCAGAAGCACCAGAUGCCGCGCUUGAUGAGGGAUUCAGCAUAUCUCCAUUUGGAAACACUGCCCCUGCUAAUAACACAGAGGAGGUGUGCCUGUUCAAUGAUCCUCUGCCUAAUCAUGAGGUUCAGAAGGUGGGUAAGAUGGGUAGAUCACUCUCCAAUGCAAAAGAGAUGAUGACAAGCCCCUCAAAGAAGGCAGCAGACCAGCUUCCACAUAAGGCAGUGCACCUCGAUAUGUUCAAAGGAACAAAAGGGGGGUAUCUGUCCGAGGACGACACGUCGGCAGCGAAAGACUGCCAUCCUUUCAGGAUGACUCGGGACGAGAUAUCACUGAAACCCAUAGAGGUGAGGAAGAAAGCCCCGGCUGGGCAGGCGUGCUCGGAUGCGGAGGUCGAGUUCAGGAGGGCGAGGAGCCUGAGAGAGGCCAACAGCGUCCUGUCAUGGCGCAGCACGCUGUCAAGACAACUAGAGUAA